GAUCCUCGCCCGUUCCCUCCUGGUCGUUUCCGCAGUAACCUCUUAUCAGAGCGGGCAGCUGUGAGUGGCGCUCACAUCCGCCGCUGCCCUGUCGAAUGGGGGAAAGAGUUCUUGUGUUCUGAGGAGGGUUUGGCUAUGGUCCUUGACCCUAUUCUUGUCUCAGACUUGCCUCCCAGGUAUCGAGGUCUCCCUGUGGGUUUCAUAUGGCUUGGUCCUUUAGGAGCUGGAAAAAUUAGGCAUAAAGUCCCCCCACCCCCUUGACAGAACGCCCCUUCUGACUCCAGAGGUCCUUUAUCGAGUGCCAGGCAUUGGUCUAGGGGCAUUUGAAAAAGAUUCACUGAAGGACAUUUUUAAGAGUUCGCUUUCUCAGAGGGCAGCUUCUCAAACUCAUUCGCUGGUUUCUUUUCCUCUUUCCGCCUGUUUAAGGAAUAUAGGAGGAUUGUAUGCCCUGGCCUCCCUGUGAUGGGGUUGAACUACAUGACAUGUUCUCCGAAUUAAGUGUGAGCAUAGCAUUUAAUUGUUGAUGCAAGACCUUCCAGAACUCUUUUUCUCUUUGCCAUGGCAAUCAUCAGUGUUCCAGAGAGCAUAUGCACGAUCAGCCUUGGUAUUGGAGGGAAGAUGAUGCGGAACAGAGUCCCAGUCACAUCAUGAAGGACAUGUAAAGUGAGAAGUAAACCUUGGUUGUUUUAA
This 690-nucleotide long non-coding RNA is filed under the name Homo sapiens (human). Its description in RNAcentral is "novel transcript". The record is from RNAcentral. Lineage: Eukaryota; Metazoa; Chordata; Mammalia; Primates; Hominidae.